ACUGCUCAGUAACACGUGGACAACCUGCCCUUAGGUUGGGUAUAAACCCGGGAAACUGGGUAUAAUACCCGAUAGGUCUCGAUUGCUGGAAUGCAUCGAGAUUUAAAGCUCCGGCGCCUAAGGAUGGGUCUGCGGCCUAUCAGGUAGUAGUGGGUGUAGCGUACCUACUAGCCUACGACGGGUACGGGUUGUGAGAGCAAGAGCCCGGAGAUGGAUUCUGAGACACGAAUCCAGGCCCUACGGGGUGCAGCAGGCGCGAAAACUUUACAAUGCUGGCAACAGCGAUAAGGGAACCUCGAGUGCCAGGUUACAAAUCUGGCUGUCGAGAUGCCUAAAAAGCAUUUCAUAGCAAGGGCCGGGCAAGACCGGUGCCAGCCGCCGCGGUAACACCGGCGGCUCGAGUGGUAACCGUUAUUAUUGGGUCUAAAGGGUCUGUAGCCGGCCGGAUAAGUCUCUUGAGAAAUCUGGCAGCUUAACUGUCAGGCCUUCAGGAGAUACUGUCUGGCUCGAGGCCGGGAGAGGUGAGAGGUACUUCAGGGGUAGGGGUGAAAUCUUGUAAUCCUUGAAGGACCACCAGUGGCGAAGGCGUCUCACCAGAACGGACCUGACGGCAAGGGACGAAAGCUAGGGGCACGAACCGGAUUAGAUACCCGGGUAGUCCUAGCCGUAAACGAUACUCGCUAGGUGUCGGCCACGGUGCGACCGUUGUCGGUGCCGUAGGGAAGCCGUGAAGCGAGCCACCUGGGAAGUACGGCCGCAAGGCUAAAACUUAAAGGAAUUGGCGGGGGAGCAC
Molecule: ribosomal RNA, 793 nt
Filed under: uncultured archaeon
Lineage: Archaea
Description: bacterial SSU rRNA
Rfam family: Archaeal small subunit ribosomal RNA
Source: RNAcentral